Molecule: long non-coding RNA, 1494 nt
Filed under: Zonotrichia albicollis (white-throated sparrow)
Lineage: Eukaryota; Metazoa; Chordata; Aves; Passeriformes; Passerellidae
Description: lncRNA (ENSZALG00000007175.1)
Source: RNAcentral
AUGAACAUUUCCAUUUCCUGCCCCACGCUGAAAUCUUUCUUUUCCAAAACGUUUCAAAUUGGAGUUUUUAACACUAAAAAGCGAUUUUUUUUUUUUUUUAGCUUUGGGAAAGAGGUUUUGAACCCAAAUUGUGAUUUUGAGGCCCAAAGAAANCCACAAAUCCCCCAAAUUCACCCCAAAUUCCAUUGGGGAUCCACAAAACCCUCCCAGGAACCGCCAAAAUCCACCGGCCACCCCCAAAAUCCCCAAAUUCGCCCUAAAUUCCACCUGGGACCCCCCAAAAAUCACCCAAAAAAUUCACCUGAGACCCCCCCAAACCACCCUGGGUCUCCCAAAAUCCACCGGGAACCCCAAAAUUCUACCUGGGACCCCCCAAAUUCACGGGAAACCCCAAAAAAUCCACCUGGAACCCUCCCUGAAUCCCCAGGGGGCUCCCAAAUGGACCAGAGACCCCAAAAAUCACUCUGGACCCCCCAAAAUUCACCUGUGGGGUGGGCGGAGCUUCUGCUUCCUCCUGGGCGGGGCUUGGGGGACCCUCCACAUCUGGAUUUGGGGCCGCCUCCUCCACAUCUGGAACCUGGGGCUGGUCCGGGGCCCUUUCGGGUCUUUCCAGGGGUUCCACAUCUGGGGCAGGGGGCAGGAACAGCUGGGUGGCCACAUCUGGAUUCAGGCCAGGGCUCCCCGGCCCGUCCACAUCUGGACUUGGGGUGUCCACCUCCACAUCUGGAAUUUCAGGGACUUCCGGGGCCGUUUGGGGUCUUUUUGAGGCUGCCACAUCUGGAUUUGGGCCCACCUUCCCCACAUCUGGAUCAGCAUCCCCCAGCAAUGUCCUGUGGCCCCUCAGUGACUCCCCCACAUCUGGAUUUGGUCUCUCCAUGUCCACAUCUGGAAUGUCGGGCAGGUUUAGGGCACUUUUGGGUGGGUUUGGGGACCCAACACCUCGUUCUGAGGGUCCUUCCCCCUGCACAUCUGGAUCAGGGGGCAGGAACAGCUGGGUGGCCACAUCCAAGUCCUCCUCCCCCUCCACAUCUGGAUCUGGGGUCUCCACCCUCACAGCGGGAAUCUUGGGGUCAUUUGAGGCCAUUUUGGAUUGUUUUGGACCCAGAACAUCUGGAUUUAGGCUGUCCUCCACACCUGGAUGUGGAGGCAGGAACAGCUGUGUGGCCACAUCUGGAUCCAGAGAGGGCAGCCCCUCUACAUCUGGAACUUUGGGGUCCUUUGGGGCCGUUUUGGGGCCUUCUGGGCUCCCAACAUCUGGAGAAGGCAGGAACAGCUGGGUGGCCACAUCUGGAUCUGACUCCUGUUCUUCCCCCUCAUCUGGAUCUGGGGUUUCCUCCUCCACAUCUGGAAUUUUGGGAGGGUUCUGGGUCAUUUUGGGUCCUUUUGGGCUCGCGACAUCAGGGGAGGGCAGGAACAGCUGGGUGGCCAUAUCCGGAUUUGACUCCUCUUCCUCCUCCACAUCUGGAAUUUCCGGGGGCUUCUGGGUCAUUUUGA